AUGUUUGAGCUUUGGCCGUGCCCACGUCCCCUGUGUGCCGCAGGGCUCCGGGCCAAAGUGACCCUGCUGGAGCCCGGGGGCACCUCCAGCCCCCCGGGGGUCCCUGACGUUGCUGUGCCGCGGCUCCGGGUUCAGUUUCGGCAGUUACGCCAUGUUCUGGAUCCGCCAGAGACCCGGGCAGGGGCUGGAAUUCGUCGCGGGGAUCAAGAGCAACGGUGGCAGCAUCGGCUACUCGGAUUCGGUGCAGGGCCGGGUCAGGAUCUGCAGGGACAACGGGCAGAGCUCGGUGACGCUGACCAUGAACAGCCUCAGGGACGAGGAUUCCGGAUCCUAUUUCUGUGCCAAAUGUGUUGAUGGUGGCUGUGUGUGCCGCCAGAUCGCUCUGGGGCGCAAAGUGACCCUGCUGGAGCGCGGGGCACCUCCAGCCACGGGGCCCUGCUCGCCGCCCUGCCGAACAGCCUCAAGGGGUCGGGCCAAAGUGACCCUGCUGGAGUCCGGGGCACCUCCAGCCCCCGGGGGCCCGUGA
Non-coding RNA from Camarhynchus parvulus, 526 nucleotides. The record is from the annotation of a RefSeq genome assembly. Lineage: Eukaryota; Metazoa; Chordata; Aves; Passeriformes; Thraupidae.